RNAcentral lists this ribosomal RNA (468 nucleotides) under uncultured bacterium. Its description in RNAcentral is "partial 16S ribosomal RNA". It matches the Rfam family "Bacterial small subunit ribosomal RNA", at positions 28 to 507 of the family's 1533-position model. The record is from RNAcentral.
GACGAACGCUGGCGGCGUGCUUAACACAUGCAAGUCGAACGGAAAGGCCCUGCUGGUGUGGGGUGCUCGAGUGGCGAACGGGUGAGUAACACGUGAGUAACCUGCCCUUGACUUUGGGAUAACUUCAGGAAACUGGGGCUAAUACCGGAUAGGAGCUCCUGCUGCAUGGUGGGGGUUGGAAAGUUUCGGCGGGUGGGGAUGGACUCGCGGCUUAUCAGCUUGUUGGUGGGGUAGUGGCUUACCAAGGCUUUGACGGGUAGCCGGCCUGUGAGGGUGACCGGGCCCAUUGGGACUGAGAUACGGCCCAGAGUCCUACGGGAGGCAGCAGUGGGGAAUAUUGCACAAUGGGCGGAAGCCUGAUGCAGCAACGCCGCGUGCGGGAUGACGGCCUUCGGGUUGUAAACCGCCUUCGCCUGUGACGAAGCGUGAGUGACGGUAAUGGGUAAAGAAGCACCGGCUAACUACGUG